UUUUUUUUUUUUUAAACAAAAAAGGGGAUUGCAACACCCCAAAUAUAUUAGAGAGAAGAAAAAAAAGGGGAACCAACAAACAAAAGAGGAAGGGAGGGGGACUAGGCCAAAACCUCCCUAAGGAUUGACAAACCUAUAACAAGGCAACCCUAAUCUAUUCUGACCAUAAUGACCUCUAAUACAUGUAGGGAUGUCAUACCAAACAGUUAAAGAAGUCAAAGACAACCCUGCAUUAGCAAGAGAAUCUGCACAGAAGUUACCCUCUCUAUACACAUGAGUCACUAUAAAAUUCAUGCCUCUAGUCUUCAACAUG
This 313-nucleotide long non-coding RNA is filed under the name Medicago truncatula (barrel medic). RNAcentral describes it as "long non-coding RNA (MTRU_LNC007147)". Lineage: Eukaryota; Viridiplantae; Streptophyta; Magnoliopsida; Fabales; Fabaceae. The record is from RNAcentral.